GACAGAGGUGCCAAGCGUUAGGCGGAAUCACUGGGCUUAAAGCGUGUGUAGGCGGAUCGUUAAGUACCUUGUGAAAUCCCACGGCUCAACCGUGGAACUGCUGGGUAUACUGGCGGUCUUGAGCCACCUAGGGGCAACUGGAACAAGCGGUGGAGCGGUGAAAUGCGUAGAGAUGUGGAGGAACACCGAUGGCGAAGGCAGCCCCCUGGGUCAAGAUUGACGCUCAUGCACGAAAGCGUGGGGAGCAAACAGG
RNAcentral lists this ribosomal RNA (253 nucleotides) under uncultured bacterium. RNAcentral's name for it is "partial 16S ribosomal RNA". It matches the Rfam family "Bacterial small subunit ribosomal RNA", at positions 524 to 776 of the family's 1533-position model. The record is from RNAcentral.